This 75-nucleotide transfer RNA is filed under the name Cupriavidus necator. Its description in RNAcentral is "tRNA-Cys". It matches the Rfam family "tRNA". Rfam says of the family: Transfer RNA (tRNA) molecules are approximately 80 nucleotides in length. Their secondary structure includes four short double-helical elements and three loops (D, anti-codon, and T loops). RNAcentral also lists the same sequence under 15 other names. The record is from RNAcentral. Lineage: Bacteria; Pseudomonadati; Pseudomonadota; Betaproteobacteria; Burkholderiales; Burkholderiaceae.
GGCGGGGUGGCAGAGUGGUUAUGCAACGGCCUGCAAAGCCGUGUACGACGGUUCGAUUCCGGAUCCCCGCCUCCA